CGUGACCAACCUCGCCCCAUGCUCCAGAANUAGCUCUUGGAAACGGGUGGUAAUGCUGGAUGCUCCAACUUGACGCAUGUCUUGUUGGGAAAGUGUUUAGUGGCAUGGGAUGGGGUCGCGUCCUAUCAGCUUGUAGGCGGGGUAAUGGCCCACCUAGGCUUCACGGGUAGCCGGCCUGAGAGGGCGGACGGCCACAUUGGGACUGAGAUACGGGCCCCAGACUCCUACGGGAGGCAGCAGCU
RNAcentral lists this ribosomal RNA (242 nucleotides) under uncultured Gardnerella sp. Its description in RNAcentral is "partial 16S ribosomal RNA". It matches the Rfam family "Bacterial small subunit ribosomal RNA", at positions 116 to 355 of the family's 1533-position model. Lineage: Bacteria; Bacillati; Actinomycetota; Actinomycetes; Bifidobacteriales; Bifidobacteriaceae. The record is from RNAcentral.